This 526-nucleotide ribosomal RNA is filed under the name Vibrio sp. RNAcentral describes it as "bacterial SSU rRNA". It matches the Rfam family "Bacterial small subunit ribosomal RNA", at positions 369 to 886 of the family's 1533-position model. Lineage: Bacteria; Pseudomonadati; Pseudomonadota; Gammaproteobacteria; Vibrionales; Vibrionaceae. The record is from RNAcentral.
CAAUGGGCGCAAAGCCUGAUGCAGCCAUGCMGCGUGUAUGAAGAAGGCCUUCGGGUUGUAAAGYACUUUCAGUCGUGAGGAAGGYGUUGUSGUUAAUAGMGGCAUCRUUUGACGUUAGCGACAGAAGAAGCACCGGCUAACUCCGUGCCAGCAGCCGCGGUAAUACGGAGGGUGCGAGCGUUAAUCGGAAUUACUGGGCGUAAAGCGCAWGCAGGUGGUUUGUUAAGUCAGAUGUGAAAGCCCGGGGCUCAACCUYGGAAUAGCAUUUGAAACUGGCAGACUAGAGUACUGUAGAGGGGGGUAGAAUUUCAGGUGUAGCGGUGAAAUGCGUAGAGAUYUGAAGGAAUACCGGUGGCGAAGGCGGCCCCCUGGACAGAUACUGACACUCAGAUGCGAAAGCGUGGGGAGCAAACAGGAUUAGAUACCCUGGUAGUCCACGCCGUAAACGAUGUCUACUUGGAGGUUGUGGCCUUGAGCCGUGGCUUUYGGAGCUAACGCGUUAAGUAGACCGCCUGGGGAGUACGGU